UGUCUCUUAAUUAGAGACUAGUAUGAACGGCUAAAUGAGGGCCUAACUGUCUCCCGUAAAUAAUCAAUGAAACUGAUCUUCCAGUACAAAAGCUGAAAUACACCCAUAAGACGAGAAGACCCUAUGGAGCUUUAAACUUACUUGCUAAACAAAAAACUACUAGUCAACUUUGCCUACUUAAACUACAAAUAUAGCAAUAAAACUUCAGUUGGGGCAACUUUGGAAAAAAAAAGAACUUCCAAGCAAUAGAAUUACACAUUCAACUAAGACCUACACGUCUACGUAAUAAUUUAUUGACCCAGUCAUACUGAUCAACGAACUAAGUUACCCUAGGGAUAACAGCGCAAUCCUCUUUAAGAGUCCCUAUCGCCAAGAGGGUUUACGACCUCGAUGUUGGAUCAGGACACCCAAGUGGUGCAGCCGCUACUAAAGGUUCGUUUGUUCAACGAUUAACAGU
RNAcentral lists this ribosomal RNA (457 nucleotides) under Goniurosaurus huuliensis. RNAcentral describes it as "partial 16S rRNA". It matches the Rfam family "Bacterial large subunit ribosomal RNA", at positions 1970 to 2594 of the family's 2925-position model. Lineage: Eukaryota; Metazoa; Chordata; Lepidosauria; Squamata; Eublepharidae. The record is from RNAcentral.